RNAcentral lists this long non-coding RNA (1328 nucleotides) under Mytilus galloprovincialis (Mediterranean mussel). Lineage: Eukaryota; Metazoa; Mollusca; Bivalvia; Mytilida; Mytilidae. The record is from RNAcentral.
UAAAAUUCAACAAAAUAUACGAUACAUCUAAGUUCCAUUUUAAACGUACCUUUGUCCUGAUGACAAACGAACAUUAUCAAACAUAAAUAUAUAUAAACACAAAUACACUAUCAUCCUCUUUUGAUUCUAAAUAUUUCAUGAUUGUCAUACUAAAUUUUUGCAAAAAAAUAAUUUAAAUGAUAAUUCAAAAAAAAAAAUACUUGUGUUCCCGACAAUGCGAUGAUAAAAUAAGGGUAGAUAGAUAGAUAAAUGAUUGUUUUAUAAAAGGGUUUUGAUGGGUAGUACAUGGGAAACAGUCUUCCGACUAUGAUAGAGUAUGUUUAAAAAAAUAACAAAAUAAUCUCGAGUGUAGAUACAAAGUGAGUGGAAACACAAGUUUUUUUUUGUUAGGCCUUAAAAGCAUAAUUCAUGGUUAUACAUAGUUAGCAAGUCAAAUAGCUUUCUCUAUUAUCCUAUUGUAGGUAAAAUUAAGGGUUGGGUGUCGUGUUGGGUUUGCAUAGGUUAGGUAAAUGGGUAGAAUAUAGACGCAGCAAAUUUACAAUGAAUUGCAAUCAAACUGAUUUAUUGUAAGUUUAAUCUAUAUUUUGGUUUCGUUAUUAUCAUUUCACAACUUAAAAAAAUAAUGAAUGUGUAAUUUUAUAAUUCCAAAACCACAAAAACACCUGAUAAAUCUCGUACGGGAAAAAAACUUCGAAAGAUACUGAAUUUUAAAUAAAUCAAGACAUUCUUGCCAAAAUCGUCGCAAUAUACAAGAAAUAGGUCGUGUACAAUACCAAAAAUAAAUAUAAAGUCGACAAUUGGGACGCGUAAUGAUCGGAUACGACAUCAGAACGAGGGCGCAAAACUUCAAAUAACUAGUGGAUAUUCCAGUCCAUUUUAACGAAAUAUUUAUCAGUUCACUUGCAUUUUCGAUUGCCCAAUUUAGCGGGAAAAGCCCUCUCCAUAACACCGUAAACAAUAAUUUUGGAUGGUUUGAUUUAAAAGUUAACUGUUUGCAUUUACAGUUUGAUUAAAAAUGGAACGAACUAUGCGGUUUGAAACCAAAGAGAGGAGAGAAAAGUGAAUAAUGUGACGUAUGCUGUAAUGGGAUUGAUAAAAUAUCCGGAAACGUCAAAAAUUAGCACGGACAUGCUCGGUAAAUAUUAUGAACUGCACAGAAAUAUUUUCAUGGAUAAAAUAGUUCGAUUUUUUUAAGUAAUCUGUAAUCUGUAUUAUAGUAUUAUUAUCUUUAUUCUAGAGUAGAAUGAGUGAACAUGAAACAGUCGAGUUUUUAUCUAGACUUUAACGAAUAGACUUGUAGCAAAUGAGUUCACAAAAAUAACAUAGUU